This 745-nucleotide long non-coding RNA is filed under the name Gallus gallus (chicken). The record is from RNAcentral. Lineage: Eukaryota; Metazoa; Chordata; Aves; Galliformes; Phasianidae.
UGCUGGAGUCACUAUUUGAAGAGACUGGUCCCCAGUGAGAAUUUUCAUAAUGGGAUCCUAGACCACUGUGGUUCAGAUCUGGCUGUUUUUUGCUGCUGUUCGGUACUUCUCCGUUGGUCACCGGCUGUUUGGUUGUGACAGUGCUGCCUCCUGACUGGCCGUUUAAUACUUUAGGAGUAGAUCCCAGGUUUGCAGCUAUAACUGGUAACUGCUGACCUCGUUUCAGAAGCUGUUUCUGUUCCUGGUGUCGAAAUCGCGGUGGUACUUCACGAGGAGGGUAUCGAGGCAAGGUUUGCUGCUGCUGAUUGUUGGCUGUGGCCCGCUUGGCAUUAUUAUUAGUGCUGGUUGCUGUGGAAGUGCCGUUAGAGGUGACAGGCUGAGGCUGGCUUACACUUGUCUUGGUUUGUUCUGGCACUUUGAUUUUUUGUUCAAUGGCCUUUUUUUGAGCAGCUUCCUUCUUCUUCUUGUCUUCUUUUCUCUUUUUCCUUUCUUCCAUCAACUGUUCUUCCUCUUCUUGCACUAAAUCCCUGCUUAGUUUUCUUUCGACUUCUUUGGUAGCUUUAGCUUCCAACUCUCUCAUGUAUGUAAAGUGCUCGGAGUCCGGCCCGGCGUAGCUGCGGCCCGGGCCCGGCGCUGGCGCGGCGGCUCUAGGCGGCCUGGGCCCGGCACUGCGGAGCGGGAGGGCCCGGCAGCUGCUGCUGCAGCACCGCCGCCAUUUCCUGCCUCCUAACCCGGCCGGGUCCGG